GAGUUGGGGGAGAGGACCAGAACCACCUGCUGGAGAAGGGGAGCUACGGGGGCCGGGCAGGGUCCAAACGCCUCACGUAGGCGGCGGCGCCACGGUCUUCGGGGUCACAGGGAAGAGAAGGGCUCUCCUCAAGCGGGUGGAAGGAGGGAGGCCUCCCGAGGGAGUGAGACUCUAGGCCACUCCCCCGCAGCAAGGCAGGAUCACCUGCGACGCGGAGAGCGGUUAGAGGGCCCUGGAGUGGAAAAGGGCAGUGGGACCUGGUAGCUUGGGUUCCCUGCAACUUGGGGUUCGACCUCCAGGCAAUGAAGUAGGGAUGGUCCUGCAAGUCAAGAUUCCAGUAGCAAGAGUGCAUCAGAUCUCUGUAAGGAAAAUAACUAACAUUGCUCAGUUCCCUGUAGAGUUGCAGGGCGCUUUAACGUUAUCUCCCUUGGUUCUCCAUCAGGUCGUAGUGGACUAAUUUUACAGGCGAAGUUAAGUGACUUACCCAAAACCUCACAGCUAAUAAACGGCAGAGCCGGCACCCAGCUGUACUGGCUUCCAAUUCUGUUAGCUUACCAGCGCAUCACAUUAUCUCCAUAAAUCCCCAUGAUUCAACUAAUAUUAGACGCCCCACAGGUAAGAUGCUUCAGAGUUAGAGGGGAGUUGAAGAUACCUUUGCCUUCAAAGAAGUAAGGAAUAAAACAAAGAUAAAACAGACAAUAAAAGACAAACCAUGAUAGGUGCCACGUGAAAAGUGGCAGAGUACUGCCGGGAAUCAAAGAACCGUGUAUAUCUGUCUUGGGGAUAAGGAAAGAAAGGCAGCAUGAAGGAGUAGGCAUUUGGGAUUGACCUUGAAGGAGACAGGGAGAGUUUUACAGCAAGCAGGGAUAGCAUGAGAAUAUAUAUGAAGGCGAAUCAGUGAAAGUUGUGUUGGGGAAAGAGCAAAGACUCCAGGGUAUGUUGAGAGGUAGAAAAGACAAAGGAGUAUGGGGCCUAAGAUACCAAAUGGAUGAAUUUAUAUUUAAUUCAGUAUUUUGAGUUUUUAUGGUUCAGAAGUUUGGGGGAAGAAAAGGAAGGUUUUUUUUUUUCUUUGUGCUAGUGAUUUAUCUGUGAGGGGAAGCAGAAAUCAGAGGUGGAAAAACGGACAGAUCUACUGUAGGCCAGGUAAAAAUGAUGAGUCUGACCUAAAGGGACAGCUAGGGGAAUUUAAAAGAGCAUAGUUGAGAGAUGAUGUGCAUGCAGUAUCUAUAGAAUUUGGCAACUGAUUGAUUAAUUGUGGGUAGGAAGAGAGAAAUCAAAGAAAGUGGAGGUUUUGAGUUUGUAGAUAAUUGCAAGAGAGAAAAGAGACAAUUACAAAGGAGAGGGAGCUACUUCUUGAGAGAUCAGUUUAGAUUUGGACAUUUUAAGAAUUCAAAGGGUUGUCAAGACAGCCAGAGAGACAUGGACACUAAUAAGUUAGAAAUAAAGGUUUUGUAAUAUGGGAAAGAGGACUGAACUAGAAAAUAGACUCAUAAAUAAUCAGCCUAGGAGUGAUAUUGCUGUGAGAUAAAAGAAGAAAACAAAGGUCAGAAUCUUGGAAAACACCCUCUUUAGAGUCUCGCUACUCAAAACGUGGUCAGUGGCCCAGCAGCACUGACAUGAGGAUGUUAGUUAGAAACUCAGAAUCUCAGGCUCCACCCCAGACCUGCUGAACCAGCAUCUUCAACUUAACAAGAACCCGAAGAGAUUUGUGUCACAUCAAAAAGUUUGAGAAGCUCUGAUCUAGGUGAGCCAAGCCAGCAAAGAAAGGGGAUGGAGCAGAAAAUGGGAGGAGAAUAGGGUAACGCAGAAUCAUCAAGACAAGGUAAAUUGGAGUUUCACAAAAACAGGGCUGGAAGGAGUGUUGCUCAACAAUAUCCAAAACCACAGAGGUUGAAAAGCACAAGGAAAGAAGGUAUGUUUGCACUUUGUGAUUAGGUAGUAGGGUCUUUGAGACCACAUUGUUCUUAUUGAAAGCCUGGGAAGAAAGAUCCCCUUUCUGGUCAAGUUUAGUCUAGGGAUCCAUCCCAUCUUCCCCAGUUCCCACGUGUAUGGGACAUGUCGAGAUAAGUAGAUAGAUUGGACAGUGGGAGAAAGUAGUUCUCUUCCAGUUGCUUCUAUUUUCUCAGCAAAGUGAGGAGCAAGAUCAUUUUGGCAGACUGCUAAUUGUCCAUCACAAUUUAGUCUCCCUUUCUCCCUGAAAACACAGACUGCUUUUCUCAGCCUCUCUUUCAGUUGCAUAUGGUCAAGUAUUAAGUUAUAGAACGUGAGCAGAUGUUAUGUCUGCCACUGUCAGGCCAAGGCGUUUACUUUGAGAGUACUUGUGCCUCUUUCAUGCAUUUUCCUUUCUGCCAGCUGGACCCUGGACACGGUGACUCUGAUUCAAUUAUGCAGAUGACCACAAACCUCUGGGGUUGGCAGAGCCACAAGAAAGAAGGUGCCUGGAUGAAGGAGAGCUACCCACUGACCUGGACACCCAAUUAUAGGAUAGACAGUGAAGUGCAACUACAGCCCGCAAAUGAAAAUGAAUAAUAUUAAUCCAGCCCCUCAAGGCAGGCGAGUAGCUGCUGUCAUCUGUCUUAGAGCUAUUGGAAUCCUGGAUCAUUGUGGGAAAUGAAAGGAACUGGUUUUUAGCAAGGAGACCAAGAAACUCUACUCCCUAGGGGCUAGCAAUGAGAGAAAGGAAGCCUUAAGUCUUUGAGCACAGGGUGACAGUUUGGGUCCUAUGUGAGAUGAUCAAAUCCACAGCAACAGAGGAAAGGACAAAAGGAAAAGAUACUUCGAUGGAAUCAGCAGCCAUUGAUCCAAUGCCAACUCCAAGACUGGAACGUCGCAAUGAUAGUUCCAAGGCGGAAAUUUGACGUAAUUCUUUUCGACACAGUUUUACAGGCAUCUUGCAUGUGAAUAACUCACAACUUUAAUUCAUGGAACAAAUUGAGAAAUAGUCUUUUGGGGGUUUGGUACUCCCUGGAAACAUAAGAGUGCUUUGGGCACCUCUGGUGCCUUUCCAUGCCUGCCUUCUCUGCUGUUCUUGCUACUAGUGAAUUCUAAAUCAUGGCCAAGUGAUGCCAGCACUGGAUAAUAUUGGCUCUGCCCCAUAUCUCGAGGGAAAACUCUAGGACUUGGCAUUAUAUGUGUGGGAAUCUGGCCUUGGUUGGCACUCCCAGCAUGAUAGCGGGGUUCUCCUGUCUGAAUGUACUCUGGGGUGUGCGCCACAAUUUCUGUCAUCGAAAUGGAGAUGAGAGAAUAUGCCCUUGGUGGGGACACCCCACUGGAAUUAGAGUGAAGAGAUCAAAGCUAGAGGUUCUUAAAUCAAAGAAUAUCUAAUAGCAAAGACAAAAACUUGCUUAAGGGAAAUGCAUACAAGUACUAGACCUAAUAUGAUGAAAAAUGCCAACUUCAAUAUAUUGAUGCAUGCUUAGUACACUUUCAGUCCUGCAAAGACAAAGUUUUUUGUUGUUUUUUUUUUGAGACGGAGUCUCGCUCUGUCGCCCAGGUUGGAGUGC
This 3503-nucleotide long non-coding RNA is filed under the name Homo sapiens (human). RNAcentral describes it as "HSALNT0353133". Lineage: Eukaryota; Metazoa; Chordata; Mammalia; Primates; Hominidae. The record is from RNAcentral.